GACGAACGCUGGCGGCGUGCUUAACACAUGCAAGUCGAACGGAAAGGCCCUGCUUUUGUGGGGUGCUCGAGUGGCGAGCGGGUGAGUAACACGUGAGUAACCUGCCCUUGACUGUGGGAUAACUUCAGGAAACUGGGGCUCAUACCGGAUAGGAGCUCCUGCUGCAUGGUGUGGGUUGGAAAGUUUCGGCGGUUGGGGAUGGACUCGCGGCUUAUCAGCUUGUUGGUGGGGUUGUGGCUUACCAAGGCUUUGACGGGUAGCCGGCCUGGGGGGGUGACCGGCCACACUGGGACUGAGGGACGGCCCAGACUCCUACGGGAGGCAGCAGUGGGGAAUAUUGCACAAUGGGCGGAGGCCUGAUGAAGCAAGGCCGCGUGCGGGAUAACGGCCUUCGGGUUGUAAACCGCUUUCGCAUGUGACGAAGCGUGAGUGACGGUAAUGGGUAAAGAAGCACCGGCUAACUACGUG
RNAcentral lists this ribosomal RNA (468 nucleotides) under uncultured bacterium. RNAcentral's name for it is "partial 16S ribosomal RNA". It matches the Rfam family "Bacterial small subunit ribosomal RNA", at positions 28 to 507 of the family's 1533-position model. The record is from RNAcentral.